GAUGGACGCUGGCGGCGUGCCUAAUACAUGCAAGUCGAGCGAACAGACGAGGAGCUUGCUCCUUUGACGUUAGCGGCGGACGGGUGAGUAACACGUGGAGAACCUACCUAUAAGACUGGGAUAACUUCGGGAAACCGGAGCUAAGACCCGAUAAUAUAUUGAACCGCAUGGUUCAAUAGUGAAAGACGGUUUUGCUGUCACUCAUAGAUGGAUCCGCGCCGCAUUAGCUAGUUGGUAAGGUAACGGCUUACCAAGGCAACGAUGCGUAGCCGACCUGAGAGGGUGAUCGGCCACAGUGGAACUGAGACGCGGUCCAGACUCCUACGGGAGGCAGCAGUAGGGACUCUUCCGCAAUGGGCGAAAGCUUGACGGAGCAACGCCGCGUGAGUGAUGAAGGUCUUCGGACCGUAAAACUCUGUUAUUAGGGAAGAACAAAUGUGUAAGUAACUAUGCACGUCUUGACGGUACCUAAUCAGAAAGCCACGGCUAACUACGUG
RNAcentral lists this ribosomal RNA (497 nucleotides) under uncultured bacterium. Its description in RNAcentral is "partial 16S ribosomal RNA". It matches the Rfam family "Bacterial small subunit ribosomal RNA", at positions 28 to 507 of the family's 1533-position model. The record is from RNAcentral.